AGGAAUGUAUAGCAAUAGCUAGUUGCAUCAUUGUAAUGAGGAUGCAAUAUUGACUAUGUUGAAUAAAAUUCUAGGUAGAAUUAUGAUAAUGACAUUGUCUGCCUAUGUGUCUUGACCAAAUUACGUGCCAGCAGUCGCGGUAAUACGUAGAAGACUAGUGUUAUUCAUGUUUAAUCGGUUUAAAGGGUACCUAGACGGCAGAUCAAGCUUUCCGAGAAGAAAAAAAAGAGAAAAAAGGACUAAUUUGCUAGAGUUACUUACGAGGGGGUUUUAAAGUACUGCUGGUGUAGAGAUGAAAUUCUGUCAUACCUCUUUUCGAAAGAAAAAUGAUGGCACAGGUAUAGGCGAAGGCAUCCCCUUAUGUGAUAACUGACGUUGAAGGACGAAGG
This 389-nucleotide ribosomal RNA is filed under the name Hypotrachyna sorocheila. RNAcentral's name for it is "partial small subunit ribosomal RNA". It matches the Rfam family "Bacterial small subunit ribosomal RNA", at positions 357 to 759 of the family's 1533-position model. Lineage: Eukaryota; Fungi; Ascomycota; Lecanoromycetes; Lecanorales; Parmeliaceae. The record is from RNAcentral.